RNAcentral lists this non-coding RNA (29 nucleotides) under Bombyx mori (domestic silkworm). Lineage: Eukaryota; Metazoa; Arthropoda; Insecta; Lepidoptera; Bombycidae. The record is from RNAcentral.
UGAAAGGAAAUUCAAACAAACCAAAUGGC